UCGCUACUACCGAUUGAAUGGCUUAGUGAGCUCUCUGGACUGUUGCACGUCGAGGGUUUUCUCUUGACGAGCAGCCGGGAACUCGAUCAAACUUGAUCAUUUAGAGGAAGUAA
Molecule: ribosomal RNA, 113 nt
Filed under: uncultured eukaryote
Lineage: Eukaryota
Description: partial small subunit ribosomal RNA
Source: RNAcentral